This is a long non-coding RNA of Oncorhynchus tshawytscha (Chinook salmon), 736 nucleotides long. NCBI's taxonomy places the organism in Eukaryota, Metazoa, Chordata, Actinopteri, Salmoniformes, Salmonidae. The record is from Ensembl.
GGACAGAGCAGAACAUGAUGUAAGGCUCACAGCAGUUCUGACCCGACUCCAGGAGACUGGCCUGACACUCAAUGAAAAAUGCACUUUUGCACAAUCAGAGGUCUUGUUCUUGGGACACAAAAUCGCCGCCUAUGGAAUAGAGCCGGACUAAAGCCUUUCUCACUUUUGACAGAACAUGGACACACUGCAAUUGGGAUCAAGAAGAAGAUCUUCUCAGAAAUUAAUCAAGUCCAUGGAAUGGAUAUAGACAAAAAUAUAAUUCAAGGACUAGCGGAGGUAGAGAGGCGAGGCAGGGGUGAGGACAUCUUCCUGCUAUUUUGACAGUCCCUGAAGGACAAUACAGAAGAGGACUGGAGACCACAGCAGCGAUUCUGCUCUUGCCCAACAUCUUCAAUGAGGACCCGAGUGGCCUUUACGCCCGUGACAAGAUUUCACCGCUCUUCAAUCCUUUACUGCACAUCGGCGGAAAUCCAUUUCACCAUGAGAGUGAAAUCCCGCUGGCCUUUGAUGGGGAGAACAUCCACGCCCUCGAGGACGUCCCCAUGGGACUUGGGGCUCUGCUAGUGCUGGAUUUUUUAUUUUCCCUUAAAUUUCAGAAAAACACAUGUUCUUAAGUUUACUGUGCUCUGGGGAUGAGAGGGAUUAAUGAAAUAGCGGCCACAACAGACAGACCUGAUAUCGCCCAUAAUUCGAUGUCACGUGCUGACUGGGUAUGACCAAAGUUAUUCUAUUUAGC